GAAUCUUCCGCAAUGGACGAAAGUCUGACGGAGCAACGACGCGGGAGUGAUGAAGGUUUUCGGAGCGUAAAGCCCUGUUGCCAGGGAAGAACGCUUGGGAGAGUAACCGCCCUCAAGGUGCCGGUACUUGAGAAGAACGCGCCGGCUAACUACGUGCCAGCAGCCGCGGUAAUACGUAGGGGGCAAUCGUUGCCCGGAAUUAUUGGGCGUAAAGCGCGCGCAGGCGGUUCAUUAAGUCUGGUGUUUAAGGCUAGGGCUCAACCCUGUUUCGCACUGGAAACUGUUGAACUUGAGUGCAGAAGAAGAAAGUGGAAUUCCACGUGUAGCGGUGAAAUGCGUAGAGAUGUGGAGGAACACCAGUGGCGAAGGCGACUUUCUGGGCUGUAACUGACGCUGAGGCGCGAAAGCGUGGGGAGCAAACAG
Molecule: ribosomal RNA, 423 nt
Filed under: uncultured bacterium
Lineage: Bacteria
Description: partial 16S ribosomal RNA
Rfam family: Bacterial small subunit ribosomal RNA
Source: RNAcentral